RNAcentral lists this ribosomal RNA (253 nucleotides) under uncultured bacterium. Its description in RNAcentral is "partial 16S ribosomal RNA". It matches the Rfam family "Bacterial small subunit ribosomal RNA", at positions 524 to 776 of the family's 1533-position model. The record is from RNAcentral.
UACGGAGGGUGCAAGCGUUAUCCGGAUUCACUGGGUUUAAAGGGUGCGUAGGUGGGCAGGUAAGUCCGUGGUGAAAUCUCUGAGCUUAACUCAGAAACUGCCGUGGAUACUAUUUGUCUUGAAUGUUGUGGAGGUGAGCGGAAUAUGUCAUGUAGCGGUGAAAUGCUUAGAUAUGACAUAGAACACCAAUUGCGAAGGCAGCUCACUACACAAUUAUUGACGCUGAUGGACGAAAGCGUGGGUAGCGAACAGG